Molecule: ribosomal RNA, 1490 nt
Filed under: uncultured Bordetella sp.
Lineage: Bacteria; Pseudomonadati; Pseudomonadota; Betaproteobacteria; Burkholderiales; Alcaligenaceae
Description: partial 16S-23S ribosomal RNA intergenic spacer
Rfam family: Bacterial small subunit ribosomal RNA
Source: RNAcentral
GGUUCGAUCCUGGCUCAGAUUGAACGCUGGCAGGAUGCUUUACACAUACAAUCGACAGCACGGACUUCGGUCUGGUGGCAGUGGCGAACGGGUGAGUAAUGUAUCGGAACGUGCCUAGUAGCGGGGGAUAACUACGCGAAAGCGUAGCUAAUACCGCAUACGCCCUUCAAGGGAAAAGCAGGGGACCUUCGGGCCUCGCACUAUUAGAGCGGCCGAUAUCGGAUUAGCUGGUUGGUGGGGUAACGGCUCACCAAGGCGACGAUCCGUAGCGCUGGUUUGAGAGAGGACGACCAGCCACACUGGGACGAAACACAGCCCAGGCUCCCUGGGAAGGCGGCAGUGAGGGUACGACAAUAGGGAAACCUGAUCCAGCCAUCCCGCGUGUGCGAUGAAGGCCUUCGGGUUGUAAAGCACUUUUGGCAAGGAAAGAAACGGCACGGGAUAAUACCCCGUGCAACUGACAGUACCUGCAGAAUAAGCACCGGCUAACUACGUGCCAGCAGCCGCGGUAAUACGUAGGAGGUGCAAAGAAAGCGUUAAUCGGAAUUACUGGGCGUAAAGCGUGCGCAGGCGGUUCGGAAAGAAAGAUGUGAAAUCCCAGAGCUUAACCUGGAACUGCAUUUUUAACUACCGAGUAGAGUGUGUCAGAGGAGAGUGGAAUUCCCACGCGUGUAGCAGUGAAAUGCGUAGAUAUGCGGAGGAACACCGAUGGCGAAGGCAGCCUCCUGGGAUAACACUGACGCUCAUGCACGAAAAGCGUGGGGAGCAAACAGGAUUAGAUACCCUGGCAGUCCGCCUAAACAGUGUCAACUGGCUUCUAUUUGGGGCCUUCGGGCCUUGGUAGCGCAGCUAACGCGUAAGUUAGCCGCCUGGGGAGAUACGGUCGCAAGAUUAAAACUCAAAAUUGACGAGGACCCGCACAAGCGGUGGAUGAUGUGGAUUAAUUCGAUGCAACGCGAAAAACUGCCUACCCUUGACGCUGUCUGGAAUCCCGGGUUACAGGAGUACUGCAAGAAGAACCGGAACUGAGUGCUGCAUGUGGCGCAGCUAAGUAGCUCGUGUCGUGAAGAUGUUGGGUUAGAAUCUGGAAAGCAACCCUUGUCGUGAGUUGCUACGAAGGGCACUCUAAUGGACAUACCGGUGAUAACCGGAGGAAGGUGGGGAUGACGUCAAGUCCUCAUGGCCUUUCAUGGGUAGAACUUCUACACACGUCAUACAAUGGUCGGGACAGAGGGUCGCCAGCCCGCGAGAGAGCCAAUCCCAAGAAACCCGAUCGUAGUCCGGAUCGCAGGAUACAGCUCGACUUGCGUGAAGUCAGAAUCGCUAGUAAUCGCGGAUCGGCGCCGCCGCGGUGAAUACGUUCCAGGUCUUGUACACACCGCCCGUCACACCAUGGUGGUUUUACCCAGAAGUAGUUAGCCUAACCGUAAGGAGGGCGAUUACCACAGUAGGAUUCAUGACUGGGGGUGAAGAAAGUCGUAACAAGGUAA